AAAUUUAUUUAAAUUAUAAAUUAUUUUGAGCCAAUUAUUUAAUUUAUAAAAAUUUAAUUUCACCGUCAAUCUUUUAAUUUAUUUAAUUUAAAUCAAUUAAUAACAUUCUAAUUUUAAAAUUUAAAUAUACCAUUUAAUUUUACAAGUUUUUUUAAAGUUGAAUUAUCGUUGACUAAUUCAAAUCAAAUAAAUUGAAAAAUUGGAUAGUAAGAUUAAAAUUUUAAAAUAUUUGAUAGUCGACUCAAGAUGACCCGCAAUUCAAAUAAGUUCGGUAAGUUUUUGUCUAUCUUUUUAGUAUUUAUUUAGAUCAUUUUUAGAUGUCGGAAUGAAUUAAUUGUAAUAUUUUAUUUAAUAUAAAUUUUUUUCUAUUAUGACCGGGAGUUAAGAGUACAGUUAGGAAUGCAGACGGGAUAGAUUCUGAGGCAGGAGGGGUUUCCCACCUUCAAUCCCAUUUUCUUGGCUGAUGAAAACGGAUUCAAACAAAUUAAUUUUAAUUCUAUUUUUUCCUCUCACUUAUUGUUUCGUUUAGAGAUAGGUUCGGACAUGAGCGAAUUUAUUGCAGAUUGGAUCGGAUCAAAGGAAGGUAGGGGCCUUUCAUCUUCUACGUUAUAUUUUUUAGUUGAUCGGGAUGGAUUCGGGGCAAAUUAUUUUUUUCUUUAAUUUUGGUCUCUACUUACCUCUCUAUCGGACGAAUUAGGUCAGAAAGUCCACUAACCC
RNAcentral lists this long non-coding RNA (717 nucleotides) under Ananas comosus (pineapple). RNAcentral describes it as "long non-coding RNA (ACOM_LNC008508)". The record is from RNAcentral. Lineage: Eukaryota; Viridiplantae; Streptophyta; Magnoliopsida; Poales; Bromeliaceae.